This 1076-nucleotide ribosomal RNA is filed under the name uncultured bacterium. RNAcentral's name for it is "bacterial SSU rRNA". It matches the Rfam family "Bacterial small subunit ribosomal RNA", at positions 380 to 1465 of the family's 1533-position model. The record is from RNAcentral.
ACCCUGACGCAGCCACGCCGUGUGAGUGAGGAAGGCCUUCGGGUUGUAAAGCUCUGUCAUCGGGGAAGAAACUCUAUCUGGGGAAAGUUCAGGUAGAUUGACGGUACCCGAGGAGGAAGCACCGGCUAACUCUGUGCCAGCAGCCGCGGUAAUACAGAGGGUGCGAGCGUUGUUCGGAAUUACUGGGCGUAAAGCGUUUGUAGGCGGUGCUGAGAGUCCUAGGUGAAAUCCCCGAGCUCAACUCGGGAACUGCCUAGGAGACCUCAGUACUAGAGUACUGAAGGGGUUACUAGAAUUCCAUGUGUAGCGGUGAAAUGCGUAGAUAUAUGGAGGAACACCUGUGGCGAAGGCGGGUAACUGGUCAGAGACUGACGCUGAGAAACGAAAGCGUGGGGAGCAAACAGGAUUAGAUACCCUGGUAGUCCACGCCGUAAACGAUGCAUACAAGUCGUAGCUGGGGUUGACUCCGGCUGUGACGAAGCUAACGCAAGUAGUAUGCCGCCUGGGGAGUACGGUCGCUAGACUAAACUCAAAUGUGAUUGACGGGGGCCCGCACAAGCGGUGGAUUAUGUGGUUCUAUUCGAAGCAACGCGAAACACCUUACCUGGAUUUGACAUGUCACGACCGCUGGAGAAAUCCAGUUUUCUCGCAAGAGACGUGAACACAGGUGCUGCAUGGCUGUCGUCAGCUCGUGUUGUGAAAUGUUGGGUUAAGUCCCGCAACGAGCGCAACCCCUGCGGUUAGUUGCCAGCAUUAAGUUGGGCACUCUAAUCGGACUGCCAGCGUUAAGCUGGAGGAAGGUGGGGACGACGUCAAGUCCUCAUGGCCCUUACAUCCAGGGCUACACACGUAAUACAAUGGGUAGGACAAAGGGUUGCCAACCAGCAAUGGGGAGCUAAUCUCAAAAACCUGCCCUCAGUUCGGAUUGGAGGCUGCAAUUCGCCUCCAUGAAGGUGGAAUCGCUAGUAAUCGUAGAUCAGAACGCUACGGUGAAUACGUUCCCGGGCCUUGUACACACCGCCCGUCACACCAUGGGAGUUAAUUUCACCAGAAGUCGCCUCUGGCGCCAAAGGUGG